UUCGGCCUAUUAGAUACCCUGGUAGUCCACACAGUACACGAUGAAUACUCGCUGUUGGCGAUACAAUGUCAAGGGCCAAGCGAAAGCAUUAAGUAUUCCACCUGGGGAGUACGCCGGCAACGGUGAAACUCAAAGGAAUUGACGGGGGCCCGCACAAGCGGAGGAACAUGUGGUUUAAUUCGAUGAUACGCGAGGAACCUUACCCGGGCUUAAAUUGCAACUGACGGACUUGGAAACAGGUCUUUCUUCGGACAGUUGUGAAGGUGCUGCAUGGUUGUCGUCAGCUCGUGCCGUGAGGUGUCGGCUUAAGUGCCAUAACGAGCGCAACCCUUACCGACAGUUACCAUCAGGUAACGCUGGGGACUCUGUCGGGACUGCCGUCGUAAGAUGUGAGGAAGGUGGGGAUGACGUCAAAUCAGCACGGCCCUUACGUCCGGGGCUACACACGUGUUACAAUGGGGGGUACAGAAGGCAGCUACACGGCGACGUGAUGCUAAUCCCAAAAGCCUCUCUCAGUUCGGAUUGGAGUCUGCAACCCGACUCCAUGAAGCUGGAUUCGCUAGUAAUCGCGCAUCAGCCACGGCGCGGUGAAUACGUUCCCGGGCCUUGUACACACCGCCCGUCAAGCCAUGAAAGCCGGGGGUACCUGAAGUGCGUAACCGCAAGGAGCGCCCUAGGGUAAAACUGGUGAUUGGGGCUAAGUCGUAACAAGG
Molecule: ribosomal RNA, 713 nt
Filed under: uncultured bacterium
Lineage: Bacteria
Description: bacterial SSU rRNA
Rfam family: Bacterial small subunit ribosomal RNA
Source: RNAcentral